Long non-coding RNA from Rhineura floridana, 4454 nucleotides. RefSeq lists it as uncharacterized. NCBI's taxonomy places the organism in Eukaryota, Metazoa, Chordata, Lepidosauria, Squamata, Rhineuridae. The transcript has 3 exons. The record is from RefSeq and is a predicted model, not a curated record.
GUGCUCCUCUAGCUGGCGCUCGAAGGGGGAGAGAACGCUUCACACAACACAGUUCGCCGGCUGCACGCCGCGCGCGUCAUGGCCCCUCGGCUGCAAAGUGCUAGCUACCCUUUCCUUCCCCUACGCGGCUCCUCUCCUGCCCUACAGCUUCCACCGCUACACCUCGGCGAAGAUCAUGUUGCGUUCCGGGACUUAGGCUGGCGCAGGGAAUCCAUUGCCGCCGCUGCCGCCGCAUGCUGCCAACCAAUACACAGGUUUCACAGGGACUUGAAAUAUGGUGACAUGGUAGCCCCUAUAGAGGGAAUUAACUGUCAAAUUUCAGAAUGAAUUAGUCCAAAGGAAGAAAAAAUUCUCUCUACACCUGUAGAAGAGGCUACUGCUGUUAAGAACUGGAUCCUUCUUGUUCAGAUCUACUACAUCUCCCCCAAUUCUCUACUCAUUGACCUUCUCCAUCUUUGCAUUUAGAGGGAAGCAAGGCCUUAAGAGAGAGACAGAGAGAGAGAGUUCACUUCAUGUAGCCACCUGCAGAACAGGACUGAUCGCAUCUCUUUAAACUGCUGUUAACAUAUCCAUACAAUAUAAUUAGAAGUUGUAUAAUUAGUAUUCAUGAUAAUGACUUUGACCUAGGCUCUUUUUUUACUAAUUGUUUCAAGAAAAUUUUGAAAUCUGAUUUAAAUUUUUAAAAAUUCAAUUUAAAUUUUAAAAAUUGAUGUUUUGUUUUUUUAAAAAAUCAGUUUUUAUCUACUCUGAUUUUCUCUCACAAGCACAUUGUUAUCAAAUGAAAGUGUAAGCUUAUAUUGUGAUCAUAGUAAAGUCACUGGCAGUGUGUUGAGAUCUUGGAAACCAUGAAUCUAUUGUACAGUGUAAUUGUACAGCUAUUAAUCACAGUUGGUCAUACUUUCUGUUUUCAUGAAUUUUGUUUGGACAAAGGAACAGAAUAUUAAGGGUCUAAUCCUGUACUUCAGUUACACCAGCUGAGGGGUUCUACUGGAUGUGAUGACAAUCCCCCUAGACUGGCAGAACAUGAGAUAUGCCACAGCCAUGUAAGAUCCUCUAAUAAAACUACACAGAUAUGCUGUACCAAUGGAAUAGCCAAAAUCACUUAGAUCAGCCUUCCUCAAUUUUGGACUACAGCUCCUAUCAGCCUAGGAAGCACAGCUGAGCGGGUUGUGGAAUAAAGGGCAAGACUUUAAAGCAAAAUUAAUGUUUUCAGAUGGUGAGGAAGGUUAGGGCAUGUUUUUAAAGAGGAGAACCACAAUUUUUUUCAAGGAUUUCUAUGCCUCCUUUCAAAACAAAGUUUCCCCAGAGUGACAUAUAGUCAUUAUAAAAAGACCUUAAAAUAAGAUAAUUGUCUAAAAUAUUAAAACUAAGAGGGCAGUAUAAAAUACUUCAAACUAGAAGGAAAGAUGCAUCAUUAAGCCUGAACUGAUUUAUUAUCAUUGGCUUGAGGGAAUAGCUAACACACCAUUAACAAAUCGUAUAAAAAUAUCUGCACAAUUGUCAGAUACUGAUAAAAUGUCUGGUAGGAAAGGUAUGACUUGAGUUCAACUGGAGAGAAUAUUCAAUAUACAUUUACAGAGAAAAAGUUGGCUCCCUAAAGGGUGGAAAGGGGUAAUUGUGGCCUUUUCAACUGUUAGAAAAAGGCUACAAAAUCAAUAUAUACUACACAGUGGUGACCACAGGAAGGUGUCUAUAUCUGAAUUGCCACAUUUCUUGAUAAUGUGGAAAAGUGAUGAAAUUGCUUUUUUUCUCUCUCAGAAAGCCAGCCAAAAAUGUCAGCUGCCUGUGGGCGCAUCCAUAUUCUCACAUGAGUAAAGGAAUUUAUUCAAACAAGAGACUUCCUAUUGUGUUUGGAAAUUUAUUCGUCAACCACCAAGUCACAGAAGUGAAUUAGUACUGAAUGAUUCAAAGAACCAAUUAAGUAGCUGGCAUAAAUGCUUCUCAGUUAAACUACCAGAACUUACAAGUACAGUGUUCAGGGAAUGAGUUCAAAAUCUAGAUGUUGCAGUCUUUUUGUUAACUCUACUUGCUCAAGCCACCAGUUUGAAAGCCAAAUUGGGACCUAGGACCCCAAUUUUAAUAUUUGGGUAAAUGCUUCAUUGCUCACAUGCCUGAGAUGUAAACUACACACUUUAUUUGCAAAUGAAAGAAAAAAGAGGAACGUUAACAAGUCAAACAUAAGCAACAGUACUCCACAACUCAUAAAGCAAGGAUGGGGGCCCUGUGGUCCUCCAGAUGUGAUUGGACUCAAACUUCCAUCUGCCCCAGCCACCAUGGCCAAGACCAGAAUGAUGGGAGUUGUAGUCCAUCAUCUAGAGAGGCUCGGUUCCCUAUCCUUAAAGGUUAGGUGUACAGUUGGGACUAUCUGUUUCUGAACCCUACAUACAUGGGAUUUAUAAUGGUGCAGUUGCAUCAGGGCCCGUGUCUCCAUGAGUGCCCAGCAGUAGUUUAGUGGCAAAUGCAGAAAUACAGGAUCCCUUCAUGAGUCACAGCAUGCUCUCUCCCCCCUUUUUUACAGCUCAGUUGAGAAUGAGUAUGCACAGUAUAUAACUUGCUAUUUCACUUUUGUGCACUUCCUGAUGAUAUGACAUGGACCAAUGCACUUACAGGGAAGGAGUGACAGGUGGAGCUUAGUAAAAAAUCAAUAUGACUUAAAAAUUCCACACCCACCCAUAUGAAUGCGUAAAGUCUUGAAUUUUUAAUAUGGCAAACCAAUAACAAACAAUUCAGAUGUGGACUCUCAAAUGACAAAUCAAAUACUGAAAAUGUGGAUUUCCAUGGUAGGUAUGGAUGGGCCCUAAGUGAUUUCUGUGGGAUAAAGCAGCCUGGCUGCUCCUGACCGUCAUGUGGGCAAAUGAGUUGAUCGCUCUUCCUGAACUCUUAAAAUCUGUUAUGCACAGCCUUCAAAAGAUUUACUUUAUGAAGUGUUUCUAAACAAUGUCUCCCAGCUGCCUUGCAAAAGCAUUCAAUGGCCUCAAACAUCAUAGUUUGGUGUAGCAUGUGGCUUUGCUGUUGGGGGUGGGGUGCUUUGCUCUAAAGCUAACUUUCCCAGCAUCCCUUUGAAGGUCAGACACUUCGGAAAUCCACUCAAAGCUGUAUUGGUCAAGACUAGAGAUAAGAGGGGGAGGAUCUUGGUCUGUCUCCCAAGAAAAUGGACAAGAAGUCCUCCUCUCAAAUAUUUAUUUCAUCCCUCCAGUUCUUCCUUAUCAUUCCAGAAUAAAUGUGACAACAACAGGCCUAAAUGGCAUUCUUCCAAGUCAAAAUGCAGCUCCAUACAGUGUCCACACUCUGGUAACAAACCCUUCUUUUCCUCAUGGUUCCCUUCCCCUCCUCCCCAAUAAUCAGGGGAUACAAAAUUUUCAGGACCUAAAAAGAUUGAACAAAUUUGUUACAAAUAAGUCCUUGAGGGCUGAGAUGCUUCAGUCCAACCUGACAAGCCUGAACCAGAGAGAUUUCUUGGCAUCCAUGGCCUUCACAUUCACCCUUGUCAUUGCCACUUUCUGAGAUUCAGCUGCAAGAACAACCAAUUCCAAUUUGAAGCUAUCUUUGGUAUUUGAAGUACUAUUCAGUAUCUUCUUCAGCCUCUGAAGAUUCUCAUAGCCCUGGUUGCUCAUCUACGCUUACUUAGAUGAUCUUUUAUCAGCAUUCCCUCCUCCAGCUAAGGAAUUGUGACACACCCUUCUUCAGCUAGGAUGUCUUUGCAUUCUAGUCAUCAAUACAUCUGGCAUCUGGGAGUUCCCCUCAAUACAAGCCCGAACAGUUUUUCUCUCUCAGAAGAGAGGAUUUUAACCUCAUCAAAAGGGGUUCAUCUGCAAUAUGUUAUCAAACUGCUAGGCAAGAUUAUUUCCAUCACGUGGAUUAUUAUCUCCCAUGGUUUUGUCUUUAUUCUAGACCUCUUCAAACCUUUAUGCUACCCUUCCAAGACCAAGGACUAUAUAUGUAAAGCAUUAUCAUACAACUUUAAACAACCAUGGGAAUUGUAGUUUGUUAAGGGUGCUAAGAGUUGUUAGGAGGCCACCAUUCCCCUCAGAGAGCUACAAUUCCCAGAAUUCUUUGGGAAGAGGGAUUAACUGUUAAACCAUUCUGGGAAUUGUCUUAAGCCUUUAACAAACUGCCUGGAGGUUGAACGGUAGGGUCUUCUAACCCCGGGUUGCCCUUCCAGAGUAAUUUCUACUCUUUUAUUCCCAUGCAAAUCUUCAACCAUUUGGGUACCAACAAUAUCCCUGGAGAGCCUUUUUAAAAUGCUGUGACAAGUCAGACACAACAGUCCUUGGAGCCUCAGUAAAAGAUGAUCUGCUACUCCCGGUCUUCAACUAAACUUAUUGAGAAGCCAGGUUUCUGCUCUUUCUGGCAUAACCAUUAAGUUCUGAAGGAUGCCCGGUUUCUUCCCACCCCCUAAUACCUGCAAAUUUCUUAUCUGAUAUCUCCACCUCCUGUUCAUUGUAUGCCUUCUU